UACGUAGGUGGCAAGCGUUGUCCGGAUUUACUGGGCGUGAAGGAUGCGUAGGCGGACAUUUAAGUCAGAUGUGAAAUACCCGAGCUUAACUUGGGUGCUGCAUUUGAAACUGGGUGUCUAGAGUGCAGGAGAGGUAAGUGGAAUUCCUAGUGUAGCGGUGAAAUGCGUAGAGAUUAGGAAGAACACCAGUGGCGAAGGCGACUUACUGGACUGUAACUGACGCUGAGGCAUGAAAGCGUGGGGAGCAAACAGG
Molecule: ribosomal RNA, 253 nt
Filed under: uncultured bacterium
Lineage: Bacteria
Description: partial 16S ribosomal RNA
Rfam family: Bacterial small subunit ribosomal RNA
Source: RNAcentral